Molecule: ribosomal RNA, 496 nt
Filed under: uncultured bacterium
Lineage: Bacteria
Description: partial 16S ribosomal RNA
Rfam family: Bacterial small subunit ribosomal RNA
Source: RNAcentral
GAUGAACGCUGGCGGCGUGCCUAAUACAUGCAAGUCGAGCGAACAGACGAGGAGCUUGCUCCUCUGACGUUAGCGGCGGACGGGUGAGUAACACGUGGAUAACCUACCUAUAAGACUGGGAUAACUUCGGGAAACCGGAGCUAAUACCGGAUAAUAUAUUGAACCGCAUGGUUCAAUAGUGAAAGACGGUUUUGCUGUCACUUAUAGAUGGAUCCGCGCCGCAUUAGCUAGUUGGUAAGGUAACGGCUUACCAAGGCAACGAUGCGUAGCCGACCUGAGAGGGGGAGCGGCCACACGGGAACGGAGACACGGUGCAGGAGCCUACGGGAGGCAGCAGUAGGGAAUCUGACGCAAUGGGCGAAAGCCUGAAGGAGCAACGUGGCGUGAGUGAAGAAGGUCUUCGGAUCGUAAAACUCUGUUAUUAGGGAAGAACAUAGGUGUAAGGAACUGUGCACAGCGUGACGGUACCAAAUCAGAAAGCCACGGCUAACUACGU